AACGAACGCUGGCGGCAGGCCUAACACAUGCAAGUCGAGCGGACAUCUUCGGAUGUUAGCGGCGGACGGGUGAGUAACGCGUGGGAACGUGCCCUUUGCUUCGGAAUAGCCUCGGGAAACUGGGAGUAAUACCGGAUGUACCCUUUGGGGGAAAGAUUUAUCGGCAAAGGAUCGGCCCGCGUUGGAUUAGGUAGUUGGUGGGGUAAUGGCCUACCAAGCCGACGAUCCAUAGCUGGUUUGAGAGGAUGAUCAGCCACACUGGGACUGAGACACGGACCAGACUCCUACGGGAGGCAGCAGUGGGGAAUCUUAGACAAUGGGGGAAACCCUGAUCUAGCCAUGCCGCGUGAGCGAUGAAGGCCUUAGGGUUGUAAAGCUCUUUCACCGGGGAAGAUAAUGACGGUACCCGGAGAAGAAGCCCCGGCUAACUCCGUG
This 435-nucleotide ribosomal RNA is filed under the name uncultured bacterium. RNAcentral's name for it is "partial 16S ribosomal RNA". It matches the Rfam family "Bacterial small subunit ribosomal RNA", at positions 29 to 507 of the family's 1533-position model. The record is from RNAcentral.